Molecule: transfer RNA, 69 nt
Filed under: Marmota monax (woodchuck)
Lineage: Eukaryota; Metazoa; Chordata; Mammalia; Rodentia; Sciuridae
Description: tRNA.Ala
Source: RNAcentral
GGAUUGUGGCUCAGCGGUAGAGCGCUCGCCUAGCACGUGUGAGGGCCCCGGGUUUGAUCCUCAGCACCA